Bombyx mori (domestic silkworm) is the source of this 376-nucleotide long non-coding RNA. RefSeq lists it as uncharacterized. Lineage: Eukaryota; Metazoa; Arthropoda; Insecta; Lepidoptera; Bombycidae. The transcript is spliced from 2 exons. The record is from RefSeq and is a predicted model, not a curated record.
AUUUAAUAGCGGAGCACCCAGCGUAUGUCUUCUACCGAACUCAACCGAACAAAAGCACUUGCGAAUACCGUCGAAUAUUCUCGUCCGAUGCUCCAGCACAGGGCCAAUACAAGGAACGCAGCUAUCGCAGCAGUAUGGUACGAGCACAUUGGGCGUCUUAUCUGAUAGUCAACGAUUCAAUGCGGAUGUUUUUUUAUCUCUAUUAAAUUAGUAGGAAAGACAGAAACAGUUAAACGGCAUUUUUCUCCCAUUUCCAACUGAUUUGUCUUUUGUUUAAUAUCGUUUUACGAGCUUUGGUGUCAUCCAUAAAAACAAUUUGGAAAUAUUGUAGUUUUUUUAUUUAUUUCACCAAUAAAUCAUCAGAGAAACUAUAAAA